CAGUAACACGUGGAUAACCUGCCCUUGGGACCUGCAUAACCCCGGGAAACUGGGGAUAAUUCGGGAUAACGCAUAUGUGCUGGAAUGCUUUAUGCGUAAAAAGGAUUCGUCCGCCCAAGGAUGGGUCUGCGGCCUAUCAGGUAAUAGUCGGUGUAAUGUACCUACUAGCCGACAACGGGUACGGGUUGUGAGAGCAAAAGCCCGGAGAUGGAUUCUGAGACAUGAAUCCGGGCCCUACGGGGCACAGCAGGAGCGAAAACUUUACAAUGCGGGAAACCGUCAUAAGGGGACACCGAGUGUCGGCAUCAUAUGCUGGCUGUCCAGGUGUGUAAAAUACACCUGUUAGCAAGGGCCGGGCAAGACCGGUGCCAGCCGCUGCGGUAACACCGGCGGCCCGAGU
This 400-nucleotide ribosomal RNA is filed under the name uncultured Methanosarcina sp. Its description in RNAcentral is "bacterial SSU rRNA". It matches the Rfam family "Archaeal small subunit ribosomal RNA", at positions 91 to 489 of the family's 1478-position model. The record is from RNAcentral. Lineage: Archaea; Methanobacteriati; Methanobacteriota; Methanomicrobia; Methanosarcinales; Methanosarcinaceae.